This 24-nucleotide non-coding RNA is filed under the name Rattus norvegicus (Norway rat). The record is from RNAcentral. Lineage: Eukaryota; Metazoa; Chordata; Mammalia; Rodentia; Muridae.
UACUUGCCGAGUAACUGUCCAACU